RNAcentral lists this transfer RNA (72 nucleotides) under Aeromonas phage Akh-2. RNAcentral describes it as "tRNA-Asp". It matches the Rfam family "tRNA". From Rfam's summary of the family: Transfer RNA (tRNA) molecules are approximately 80 nucleotides in length. Their secondary structure includes four short double-helical elements and three loops (D, anti-codon, and T loops). Lineage: Duplodnaviria; Heunggongvirae; Uroviricota; Caudoviricetes; Demerecviridae. The record is from RNAcentral.
GGGGAUAUAGUAUAGUGGUAAUUAUACGCGGCUGUCUACCGCAUGACCCGAGUUCGAUUCUCGGUAUCCUCG